UGCCGCUUGCGAGGGCGUAUGGUGGAUGCCUUGGCAGACAGUACCGAUGAAGGACGUUUGAGGAUGCGAUAAUCCUAGGGGAGCCUCCAACAUGGCUUUGAUCCUAGGGUCUCCGAAUGGGGGAACCCGCCGGCCGUCAUGGGCCGGCACCGCCUAUGGGCGGGGGGUACGCAGGGAAGUGAAACAUCUCAGUACCUGCAGGAAGGGAUACUCCGUGAGUAGUGGCGAGCGAAAGCGGAUCAGACCAAACCGGUUGCGCGUGAUACCCGUCGGGGGUUGCGUUGCCGGUGUUGUGGGAUCACGUGUCCCGGUUCCGACGGGCCGGGCGGGAGUCAUAAAACGGCUUGCCAGGGGAACAGGCUUGAAGGCCUGGCCGUAGAGGGUGCCAGCCCCGUACCUGGACGUGAGCCGUCUUCCGAUCGUGUUGUCCCAAGUAGCGCGGGCCUCGUGGAAUCCCGCGUGAAUCAGCCCAGACCGUUGGGUAAGUCUAAGCAUACCUGUCUGACCGAUAGCGUACCAGUACCGUGAGGGAAAGGUGAAAAGCACCCCGGGAGGGGAGUGAAACAGUUCCUGAAACCGUGCGCCCACAAACCGUCGGAGCCUCCUUGUGGGGUGACGGCGUGCCUAUCGAAAAAUGAGUCUGCGAGUCAGUGGCGGGUGGCGAGCAUAAGCCGUGUGGCGUAUGCGUAGCGAAAGCGAGUCUUAAAAGGCGUUUUUUAGUCGCUUGUCCUGGACCCGAAGCGGGAUGAUCUAGCCCUGGGCAGGUUGAAGCGCGGGUAAGACCGCGUGGAGGACCGAACCCACCUGGGUUGAAAACCGGGGGGAUGACCUGGGGCUAGGGGUGAAAGGCCAAUCAAAUUCCGUGAUAGCUGGUUCUCUCCGAAAUGCAUUUAGGUGCAGCGUCGGUCGAUUGCGUCGCGGGGGUAGAGCUACCGGAUGCUUGCGGGCCCUUGUUGGGUACCAACAGCAGCCGAACUCCGAAUACCGUUGACGUGUAUUCCGGCAGUGAGUCGGCGGGGGAUAAGCUCCGUCGUCGAGAGGGAGACAGCCCAGACCGUCGUCUAAGGUCCCGAAGCGUGUGCUAAGUGGGAAAGGAUGUGGAGUCGCAUAGACAGCCAGGAGGUUGGCUCAGAAGCAGCCAUCCUUGAAAGAGUGCGUAACAGCUCACUGGUCUAGUGGUUCCGCGCCGACAAUGUAGCGGGGCUCAAGCACACCACCGAAGACGCGGCAGCAAUCUUCAUGGUUGCUGGGUAGGAGAGCGUCCUGCGAGGGGCGAAGCGGCCGGGUAACCGUGCCGUGGACUUCGUGGGAGUGAGAAUGCAGACAUGAGUAGCGAGAGACGGGUGAGGAUCCCGUCCGCUGGAUGACCAAGGGUUCCGGGGCCACGUUCGUCGUCCCCGGGUGAGUCGGGUCCUAAGGCGAGGCCGACAGGCGUAGUCGAAUGGAUGAACGGGUGGAUAUUCCCGUACCGACCAUGGACCGGCAAAACCGAGACGGUGAGUACUAACCUCCGCCUCGUGGUGGUUCCUUCCUUCGGGUUGGUAUCGCCGCGUGGCGUUGGGACCGUAGCCGCAGUAGGUCAGCGCAGGGGUGACACGGAAUGGGAGCCGGCCGCGGAGGUGGUUUUCCGUGGUCAAGCACGCAGCCAGUCAUGUAGGCAAAUCCGCAUGGCGCGCAUGGCGAGGUGUGAUGAUGGGAGCCUUUCGGGCUCGAUAUCCGGUUGUCCAGGCCGUCGAGAAAAGCCUCGGCGUGAGGGCCAUGGCCGCCCGUACCCCAAACCGACACUGGUGGUCAGGUAGAGAAUACCAAGGCGAUCGAGCGAAUCCUGGUCAAGGAACUCGGCAAAUCACUCCCGUGCCUUCGGUAUAAGGGAGACCCACUGGGGUGAACGGCCUCGCGCCGGGAGCUUUGGUGGGUGGCACAGACCAGGGGGUAGCGACUGUUUACCAAAAACACAGGUGCAUGCGAAGGCGAAAGCCGCUGUAUAUGCACUGACGCCUGCCCGGUGCCGGAAGGUUAAGAGGAUCCGUCAAUCCUUCGGGACGAAGCGGUGAAUUCAAGCCCCGGUAAACGGCGGUGGUAACUAUAACCAUCCUAAGGUAGCGAAAUUCCUUGUCGGGUAAGUUCCGACCUGCACGAAUGGCGUA
RNAcentral lists this ribosomal RNA (2147 nucleotides) under human gut metagenome. RNAcentral describes it as "bacterial LSU rRNA". It matches the Rfam family "Bacterial large subunit ribosomal RNA", at positions 1 to 2003 of the family's 2925-position model. The record is from RNAcentral.